CUCCCACCCGUGACUAUUGUACCUUGUUGCUUCGGCGGGCCCGCCAGCGUUGCUGGCCGCCGGGGGGCGACUCGCCCCCGGGCCCGUGCCCGCCGGAGACCCCAACAUGAACCCUGUUCUGAAAGCUUGCAGUCUGAGUGUGAUUCUUUGCAAUCAGUUAAAACUUUCAACAAUGGAUCUCUUGGUUCCGGCAUCGAUGAAGAACGCAGCGAAAUGCGAUAACUAAUGUGAAUUGCAGAAUUCAGUGAAUCAUCGAGUCUUUGAACGCACAUUGCGCCCCCUGGUAUUCCGGGGGGCAUGCCUGUCCGAGCGUCAUUGCUGCCCUCAAGCCCGGCUUGUGUGUUGGGCCCUCGUCCCCCGGCUCCCGGGGGACGGGCCCGAAAGGCAGCGGCGGCACCGCGUCCGGUCCUCGAGCGUAUGGGGCUUCGUCUUCCGCUCCGUAGGCCCGGCCGGCGCCCGCCGACGCAUUUAUUUGCAACUUGUUUUUUUCCAGGUUGACCUCGGAUCAGGUAGGGAUACCCGCUGAACUUAAGCAUAUCAAAAGUCGGGAGGAACC
This 556-nucleotide ribosomal RNA is filed under the name Aspergillus terreus. Its description in RNAcentral is "eukaryotic LSU rRNA". The stretch from base 162 to 315 matches the Rfam family "5.8S ribosomal RNA". The record is from RNAcentral. Lineage: Eukaryota; Fungi; Ascomycota; Eurotiomycetes; Eurotiales; Aspergillaceae.